GAUGAACGCUGGCGGCGUGCCUAAUACAUGCAAGUCGAGCGAACAGACGAGGAGCUUGCUCCUCUGACGUUAGCGGCGGACGGGUGAGUAACACGUGGAUAACCUACCUAUAAGACUGGGAUAACUUCGGGAAACCGGAGCUAAUACCGGAUAACAUGUUGAACCGCAUGGUUCAACAGUGAAAGACGGUCUUGCUGUCACUUAUAGAUGGAUCCGCGCCGCAUUAGCUAGUUGGUAGGGUAACGGCUUACCAAGGCAACGAUGCGUAGCCGACCUGAGAGGGUGAUCGGCCACACUGGAACUGAGACACGGUCCAGACUCCUACGGGAGGCAGCAGUAGGGAAUCUUCCGCAAUGGGCGAAAGCCUGACGGAGCAACGCCGCGUGAGUGAAGAAGGUCUUCGGAUCGUAAAACUCUGUUAUUAGGGAAGAACAAAUGUGUAAGUAACUAUGCACGUCCUGACGGUACCUAAUCAGAAAGCCACGGCUAACUACGUG
Molecule: ribosomal RNA, 497 nt
Filed under: uncultured bacterium
Lineage: Bacteria
Description: partial 16S ribosomal RNA
Rfam family: Bacterial small subunit ribosomal RNA
Source: RNAcentral